GAUGAACGCUGGCGGCGUGCCUAAUACAUGCAAGUCGAGCGAACAGACGAGGAGCUUGCUCCUCUGACGUUAGCGGCGGACGGGUGAGUAACACGUGGAUAACCUACCUAUAAGACUGGGAUAACUUCGGGAAACCGGAGCUAAUACCGGAUAAUCUAUUGAACCGCAUGGUUGAAUAGUGAAAGACGGUUUUGCUGUCACUUAUAGAUGGAUCCGCGCCGCAUUAGCUAGUUGUUAAGGUAACGGCUUACCAAGGCGACGAUGCGUAGCCGACCUGAGAGGGGGAUCGGCGACACUGGAACGGAGACACGGUCCAGACUCCUACGGGAGGCAGCAGUAGGGAAUCUUCCGCAAUGGGCGAAAGCCUGACGGAGCAACGCCGCGUGAGUGAUGAAGGUCUUCGGAUCGUAAAACUCUGUUAUUAGGGAAGAACAAAUGUGUAAGUAACUAUGCACGUCUUGACGGUACCGAAUCAGAAAGCCACGGCUAACUACGUG
Molecule: ribosomal RNA, 497 nt
Filed under: uncultured bacterium
Lineage: Bacteria
Description: partial 16S ribosomal RNA
Rfam family: Bacterial small subunit ribosomal RNA
Source: RNAcentral